RNAcentral lists this ribosomal RNA (827 nucleotides) under uncultured crenarchaeote. RNAcentral describes it as "bacterial SSU rRNA". It matches the Rfam family "Archaeal small subunit ribosomal RNA", at positions 52 to 859 of the family's 1478-position model. The record is from RNAcentral. Lineage: Archaea; Thermoproteati; Thermoproteota.
UGCUAGUCGAGUGACUCAGGCAAAACGAGUCACGGCACACAGCUCAGUAACACGUGGCUAAUCUGCCCUUAGGACGAGAACAACCCCGGGAAACUGGGGCUAACUCUUGAUAGGUGAAGAACUCUGGAAUGAGUCUUUGCCUAAAAAGAUUCACGUUAUCCUCGUGAACCUGCCUAAGGAUGAGGCCGCGACCGAUCAGGUUGUUGGUGAGGUAAUGGCUCACCAAGCCUUUUACCGGUGCGGGCCGUGGGAGCGGGAGCCCGGAGAUGGGUACUGAGACAAGGACCCAGGCCCUACGGGGCGCAGCAGUCGCGAAACCUUUGCAAUACACGAAAGUGUGACAGGGCUAUCCCGAGUGCCAUCCGCUGAGGAAGGCUUUUACCCAGUCUAGAACGCUGGGGGAAUAAGGAGAGGGCAAGUCUGGUGUCAGCCGCCGCGGUAAUACCAGCUCUCCGAGUGGUGUGGAUGUUUAUUGGGCCUAAAGCAUCCGUAGCUGGCUAGGUUAGUCCCUUGUUAAAUCCACCGAAUUAAUCGUUGGAUCGCGGGGGAUACUGCUUGGCUAGGGGACGAGAGAGGCAGACGGUAUUUUCGGGGUAGGGGUGAAAUCCUAUAAUCCCGGGAAGACCACCAGUGGCGAAGGCUGUCUGCUAGAACGCGCCCGACGGUGAGGGAUGAAAGCUGGGGGAGCGAACCGGAUUAGAUACCCGGGUAGUCCCAGCUGUAAACGAUGCAGACUAGGUGUUUGGACGGCCACGUGCCGUUCUAGUGCCGCAGGAAAGCUGUUAAGUCUGCCGCCUGGGGAGUACGAUCGCAAGAUUGAAACUUAA